AAGUUAGCGGCGGACGGGUGAGUAACACGUGGGUAACCUGCCCAUAAGACUGGGAUAACUCCGGGAAACCGGGGCUAAUACCGGAUAACAUUUUGAACCGCAUGGUUCGAAAUUGAAAGGCGGCUUCGGCUGUCACUUAUGGAUGGACCCGCGUCGCAUUAGCUAGUUGGUGAGGUAACGGCUCACCAAGGCAACGAUGCGUAGCCGACCUGAGAGGGUGAUCGGCCACACUGGGACUGAGACACGGCCCAGACUCCUACGGGAGGCAGCAGUAGGGAAUCUUCCGCAAUGGACGAAAGUCUGACGGAGCAACGCCGCGUGAGUGAUGAAGGCUUUCGGGUCGUAAAACUCUGUUGUUAGGGAAGAACAAGUGCUAGUUGAAUAAGCUGGCACCUUGACGGUACCUAACCAGAAAGCCACGGCUAACUACGUGCCAGCAGCCGCGGUAAUACGUAGGUGGCAAGCGUUAUCCGGAAUUAUUGGGCGUAAAGCGCGCGCAGGUGGUUUCUUAAGUCUGAUGUGAAAGCCCACGGCUCAACCGUGGAGGGUCAUUGGAAACUGGGAGACUUGAGUGCAGAAGAGGAAAGUGGAAUUCCAUGUGUAGCGGUGAAAUGCGUAGAGAUAUGGAGGAACACCGGUGGCGAAAGCGACUUUCUGGUCUGUAACUGACACUGAG
Molecule: ribosomal RNA, 676 nt
Filed under: Bacillus cereus
Lineage: Bacteria; Bacillati; Bacillota; Bacilli; Caryophanales; Bacillaceae
Description: bacterial SSU rRNA
Rfam family: Bacterial small subunit ribosomal RNA
Source: RNAcentral